RNAcentral lists this ribosomal RNA (425 nucleotides) under uncultured bacterium. RNAcentral's name for it is "bacterial SSU rRNA". It matches the Rfam family "Bacterial small subunit ribosomal RNA", at positions 354 to 796 of the family's 1533-position model. The record is from RNAcentral.
GUGGGGAAUAUUGGACAAUGGGGGCAACCCUGAUCCAGCAAUGCCGCGUGAGUGAUGAAGGCCUUCGGGUUGUAAAGCUCUUUUGCCAGGGACGAUGAUGACGGUACCUGGAGAAUAAGCCCCGGCUAACUUCGUGCCAGCAGCCGCGGUAAUACGAAGGGGGCAAGCGUUGUUCGGAAUUACUGGGCGUAAAGGGCGCGUAGGCGGCCGAUCAAGUCAGGCGUGAAAUUCCCGGGCUCAACCUGGGGGCUGCGCUUGAUACUGAUUGGCUUGAAUGCGGGAGAGGAUAGUGGAAUUCCCAGUGUAGAGGUGAAAUUCGUAGAUAUUGGGAAGAACACCGGUGGCGAAGGCGGCUAUCUGGCCCGUAAUUGACGCUGAGGCGCGAAAGCGUGGGGAGCAAACAGGAUUAGAUACCCUAGUAGUCC